RNAcentral lists this unclassified non-coding RNA (343 nucleotides) under soil metagenome. RNAcentral's name for it is "partial contains 5.8S ribosomal RNA, internal transcribed spacer 2, and large subunit ribosomal RNA". The stretch from base 1 to 120 matches the Rfam family "5.8S ribosomal RNA", at positions 35 to 154 of the family's 154-position model. The record is from RNAcentral.
GAUGAAGAACGUAGCGAAACGCGAUAGUUAAUGUGAAUUGCAGAAUUCAGUGAAUCAUCGAAUCUUUGAACGCACAUUGCGCCCGCCAGCAUUCUGGCGGGCAUGCCUGUUCGAGCGUCAUUUCAACCCUCGACCUCCCUUUGGGGAAGUCGGCGUUGGGGACCGGCAGCACACCGCCGGCCCUGAAAUGGAGUGGCGGCCCGUCCGCGGCGACCUCUGCGUAGUAAACCAACUCGCACCGGAACCCCGACGUGGCCACGCCGUAAAACACCCAACUUCUGAACGUUGACCUCGAAUCAGGUAGGACUACCCGCUGAACUUAAGCAUAUCAAUAAGCGGAGGA